Molecule: non-coding RNA, 547 nt
Organism: Carassius carassius (crucian carp)
Lineage: Eukaryota; Metazoa; Chordata; Actinopteri; Cypriniformes; Cyprinidae
Source: the annotation of a RefSeq genome assembly
UGCUGCAGUGUUUGCAUAGAGAGUGUGUUUUACAUGAGCGACACACACUUCAGUGCUCUGUGUGUGUUUAUAACUCUGACAAACAUCAAACAUGAUCAACAACUGUUUCUCACUAGAACUGAACCUACAACCAACAGAAAUGACUUUCAUCACCAUAUUGAUCUGGACUCUGACUGUAUUAUGUAGAGAAUCUAUUGGGCAGGUGACAGUGACUCAAACUCCCUCAGUGCUGCUCGCUCAAACUGGACAAUCAGUCACUGUGACCUGUACAUUUAACAGAAAUCCAGCCUGCUGUUAUAGUGGUGGAAAACAUGAUUCCGCCCCUGCCAGUCCGCCCCUGGUUAGAUGGUUCUUAAAGAAACCCGGAGAAGCUCCUAAAAACCUGAUUUGUGGAACAAGCAGCCUCCAGUCAGGAACUCCAUCUAGAUUCAGUGGCAGUGGAUCUAACAGUGAUUUCACUCUGACCAUCAGUGGAGUCCAGGCUGAAGAUGCUGGACAUUAUUACUGUAUGAGUUACCAUAACAAUAACCCUGCAUUCACACAGUGA